GGCCCUCUCCUCUAUCUUCUUUGCUUCUCAAGUUGAUGCAUGAUCUGACCAUCAUGCACAAGGGCCUAACCGACUUUGGCCGGCUCAGCCAUUCUUUUGAGGAGAUGGACUAGUCCAUUGAGGCACGAGUUGAAGUUGCUGAGGAGCUCCAAAGGAUAGCCAAGGAGUGGGAGGUGAAGAAGAUGGAGGAUAAAUAACUAAACCAUCAGGCCA
Molecule: long non-coding RNA, 213 nt
Filed under: Elaeis guineensis (African oil palm)
Lineage: Eukaryota; Viridiplantae; Streptophyta; Magnoliopsida; Arecales; Arecaceae
Description: long non-coding RNA (EGUI_LNC056609)
Source: RNAcentral